This 48-nucleotide ribosomal RNA is filed under the name Sporothrix schenckii. RNAcentral describes it as "partial 28S ribosomal RNA". Lineage: Eukaryota; Fungi; Ascomycota; Sordariomycetes; Ophiostomatales; Ophiostomataceae. The record is from RNAcentral.
AGGUGACCUCGGAUCAGGUAGGACUACCCGCUGAACUUAAGCAUAUCA